RNAcentral lists this ribosomal RNA (460 nucleotides) under uncultured bacterium. Its description in RNAcentral is "partial 16S ribosomal RNA". It matches the Rfam family "Bacterial small subunit ribosomal RNA", at positions 338 to 795 of the family's 1533-position model. The record is from RNAcentral.
CCUACGGGUGGCAGCAGUGAGGAAUAUUGGUCAAUGGGCGCGAGCCUGAACCAGCCAAGUCGCGUGAAGGAGGACUGUCCUACGGGUUGUACACUUCUUUUAUAAAGGAAUAAAGUGAGGCACGUGUGCCCGUUUGUAUGUACUUUAUGAAUAAGGAUCGGCUAACUCCGUGCCAGCAGCCGCGGUAAUACGGAGGAUCCGAGCGUUAUCCGGAUUUAUUGGGUUUAAAGGGAGCGUAGAUGGGUUGUUAAGUCAGUUGUGAAAGUUUGCGGCUCAACCGUAAAAUUGCAAUUGAUACUGGCAGUCUUGAGUACAGGUGAGGUAGGCGGAAUGCGUGGUGUAGCGGUGAAAUGCUUAGAUAUCACGAAGAACUCCGAUUGCGAAGGCAGCUUACUAAACUGCCACUGACAUUGAUGCUCGAAAGUGUGGGUAUCAAACAGGAUUAGAUACCCCUGUAGUC